CAGUCGAGCGGACAGAUGGGAGCUUGCUCCCUGAUGUUAGCGGCGGACGGGUGAGUAACACGUGGGUAACCUGCCUGUAAGACUGGGAUAACUCCGGGAAACCGGGGCUAAUACCGGAUGGUUGUUUGAACCGCAUGGUUCAAACAUAAAAGGUGGCUUCGGCUACCACUUACAGAUGGACCCGCGGCGCAUUAGCUAGUUGGUGAGGUAACGGCUCACCAAGGCAACGAUGCGUAGCCGACCUGAGAGGGUGAUCGGCCACACUGGGACUGAGACACGGCCCAGACUCCUACGGGAGGCAGCAGUAGGGAAUCUUCCGCAAUGGACGAAAGUCUGACGGAGCAACGCCGCGUGAGUGAUGAAGGUUUUCGGAUCGUAAAGCUCUGUUGUUAGGGAAGAACAAGUACCGUUCGAAUAGGGCGGUACCUUGACGGUACCUAACCAGAAAGCCACGGCUAACUACGUGCCAGCAGCCGCGGUAAUACGUAGGUGGCAAGCGUUGUCCGGAAUUAUUGGGCGUAAAGGGCUCGCAGGCGGUUUCUUAAGUCUGAUGUGAAAGCCCCCGGCUCAACCGGGGAGGGUCAUUGGAAACUGGGGAACUUGAGUGCAGAAGAGGAGAGUGGAAUUCCACGUGUAGCGG
RNAcentral lists this ribosomal RNA (640 nucleotides) under Bacillus subtilis. Its description in RNAcentral is "bacterial SSU rRNA". It matches the Rfam family "Bacterial small subunit ribosomal RNA", at positions 59 to 681 of the family's 1533-position model. Lineage: Bacteria; Bacillati; Bacillota; Bacilli; Caryophanales; Bacillaceae. The record is from RNAcentral.